This 436-nucleotide ribosomal RNA is filed under the name uncultured bacterium. Its description in RNAcentral is "bacterial SSU rRNA". It matches the Rfam family "Bacterial small subunit ribosomal RNA", at positions 958 to 1398 of the family's 1533-position model. The record is from RNAcentral.
AACGCGAAGAACCUUACCCAGGCUUGACAUGUACCUGAAAACCGUGGAAACACGGUCCCCGCAAGGCAGGUGCACAGGUGCUGCAUGGCUGUCGUCAGCUCGUGCCGUGAGGUGUUGGGUUAAGUCCCGCAACGAGCGCAACCCUUAUCAUUAGUUGCCAACACGCGAGGUGGGGACUCUAAUGAGACUGCCUGGGUUAACCAGGAGGAAGGUGAGGAUGACGUCAAGUCCGCAUGGCCUUUAUGUCUGGGGCUACACACGUGCUACAAUGGUCGGUACAGAAGGCAGCAAGACCGUAAGGUGGAGCAAAUCCGUAAAGCCGAUCACAGUUCAGAUUGUAGUCUGCAACUCGACUACAUGAAGUUGGAAUUGCUAGUAAUGACGUGUCAGCAACAACGUCGUGAAUACGUUCCGGGCCUUGUACACACCGCUCGUC